Etheostoma cragini (Arkansas darter) is the source of this 136-nucleotide long non-coding RNA. RefSeq lists it as uncharacterized. The record is from RefSeq and is a predicted model, not a curated record. The transcript is spliced from 3 exons. Lineage: Eukaryota; Metazoa; Chordata; Actinopteri; Perciformes; Percidae.
GUGGAAAGAAACCACAAAACCUGGAGGAAACCCAUGCAAACAUGGGGAGAACACACAAACUCCACACAGAAAGGCCCGGAACGACUUGGAUUCAAACCCAGAACCUUCUUGCUGUGAGGCCUCAGGGCUAACCAUU